Molecule: long non-coding RNA, 219 nt
Organism: Sinocyclocheilus grahami
Lineage: Eukaryota; Metazoa; Chordata; Actinopteri; Cypriniformes; Cyprinidae
Exons: 3
Source: RefSeq, a predicted model, not a curated record
AUGGUUUUUUGUGUUAGAGUUUAGGGUUCUUUAUUCUCGCCCUUUUUGUUUUUUAAAUCUGUAACUGACAAAGCUCAUCAUUACUGAUUUUUGACUGUCAACACACUCUUAACAGUUUUUGGUCACAUAAUUGUGUGCAGCUCUGCUAAGCUGUGGAAACUUCUCUCCUCUUCUCCACUAAAUGUAUCACAUCUCACAACCUCAUCAUCUGCAGAGAAA